CGUCCGAGCUUCCAUAAUACCAUCCAGACUUCUCCGAUAAUGAGCUCCUUCAUUCAUCUACCGAGCUGCUCCAAAUACUUUCUGGGCUUCACUAUCAGUCGAUUUUCUACAGUGAUCGACCUAUUCUCUGAAUCUCUUCCAAACUUCUUCCGGCCACGAACGACUUUACUCCGAACUUCUACAGCAAAUGGAUUCCAGAUGAAUUUCUACAACGGACGGGCUCCACCAGUCGGAUCUCUAU
This 241-nucleotide long non-coding RNA is filed under the name Elaeis guineensis (African oil palm). RNAcentral's name for it is "long non-coding RNA (EGUI_LNC059135)". The record is from RNAcentral. Lineage: Eukaryota; Viridiplantae; Streptophyta; Magnoliopsida; Arecales; Arecaceae.